Molecule: ribosomal RNA, 527 nt
Filed under: uncultured bacterium
Lineage: Bacteria
Description: bacterial SSU rRNA
Rfam family: Bacterial small subunit ribosomal RNA
Source: RNAcentral
GAAGGAAUCUUCCGCAAUGGGCGCAAGCCUGACGGAGCAACGCCGCGUGGAGGACGACGGCCUUCGGGUUGUAAACUCCUUUUCCCAGGGACGAAACGGACGGUACCUGGGGAAUCAGCACCGGCUAACUCUGUGCCAGCAGCCGCGGUAAGACAGAGGGGGCAAGCGUUGUCCGGAUUUACUGGGCGUACAGCGCGCGCAGGCGGUCGUGUAGGUACCUGGUGACAGUCUCGGGCUCAACUCGAGGGGGUCUGGGUAGACCGCACGACUGGAGGCAGGGAGAGGGAUGUGGAAUACCCGGUGGAGCGGUGAAAUGCGUAGAGAUCGGGUGGAACACCAGUGGCGAAGGCGGCAUCCUGGCCCUGACCUGACGCUGAGGCGCGAGAGCGUGGGGAGCAAACGGGAUUAGAUACCCCGGUAGUCCACGCCGUAAACGAUGUGGAGCCGGUGUCGGUGCGUGAUUGCGCGCAGCGGUGCCCAAGCUUACGCGAUGACUCCACCGCCUGGGAACUACGGCCGCAAGGCUA